This 320-nucleotide ribosomal RNA is filed under the name uncultured eukaryote. RNAcentral describes it as "partial 18S ribosomal RNA". It matches the Rfam family "Eukaryotic small subunit ribosomal RNA", at positions 1470 to 1796 of the family's 1831-position model. The record is from RNAcentral.
CCCCUAGAUGUUCUGGGCCGCACGCGCGCUACACUGAACAGUUCAACAAGUCUUAACCUUGGCCGAUAGGUCUGGGUAAUCUUUGAACGCUGUUCGUGACUGGGAUAGACCUUUGCAAUUAUGGGUCUUCAACGAGGAAUUCCUAGUAAACGCAAGUCAUCAGCUUGCAUUGAUUACGUCCCUGCCCUUUGUACACACCGCCCGUCGCACCUACCGAUUGAAUGGUCCGGUGAAAUCUCGGGACGGCGGCUUGGUCGCUUGCGUCCGACUGCUGAAACUUGAUUAAACCAUNUNAUUUAANGGAAGGUGAANUCGUANCA